This 853-nucleotide ribosomal RNA is filed under the name uncultured bacterium. RNAcentral's name for it is "bacterial SSU rRNA". It matches the Rfam family "Bacterial small subunit ribosomal RNA", at positions 8 to 858 of the family's 1533-position model. The record is from RNAcentral.
AGAGUUUGAUUCUUGCUCAGGAUGAACGCUAGCGGCAAGCUUAACACAUGCAAGUCGAGGGGCAGCAUGUCCAGCAAUGGAUGAUGGCGACCGGCUGAAAGGGUGCGUAACGCGUGAGCAACAUGCCCUAUACAGGGAGAUACACCAGGGAAACUUGGUCUAAUAUCCCAUAGCAUUCAUUGAAGGUAUCUUUAAUGAAUUAAAGCUUCGGUGGUAUAGGAUUGGCUCGCGUGACAUUAGCCAGAUGGUGAGGUAACGGCUCACCAUAGCAAUGAUGUCUAGGGGUUUUGAGAGGAAGGCCCCCCACACUGGGACUGAGACACGGCCCAGACUCCUACGGGAGGCAGCAGUGAGGAAUAUUGGACAAUGGAUGGAAAUCUGAUCCAGCCAUGCCGCGUGCAGGAAGACGGCCUUAUGGGUUGUAAACUGCUUUUAUACGGGAGCAAUAAGGGUUACGAGUAAUCCGAUGAGAGUACUGUAUGAAUAAGGAUCGGCUAACUCCGUGCCAGCAGCCGCGGUAAUACGGAGGAUCCGAGCGUUAUCCGGAAUUAUUGGGUUUAAAGGGUGCGUAGGCGGCCAUUUAAGUCAGCGGUGAAAUUUUGCAGCUUAACUGUAACAGUGCCGUUGAUACUGUUUGGCUAGGAUUUGGUUGUAGUGUGCGGAAUGUGUGGUGUAGCGGUGAAAUGCUUAGAUAUCACACAGAACACCGAUUGCGAAGGCAGCACACUAAGUCAUUAUUGACGCUGAGGCACGAAAGUGUGGGGAUCAAACAGGAUUAGAUACCCUGGUAGUCCACACUGUAAACGAUGAUAACUCGCUGUCGGCGAUACACAGUCGGUGGCCAAGCGAAAGC